UGGAUUCUCUUGCCGGGAAUAGGAGCAGAACGAGAAAAUGAGUACAUUUUUGAGGUAUGUUUUUCUCCAUGUUGUGGCAUCACUGCAAGUGAGCUGCCUUGUUGAGCAUGUAGACAGUUCUAGACGGUUUUGCUGCAUGCUUAUGUGGCUAAUGGUGCCCACACUCACCGACGUAAACGUACGUUCCAUGUCAGCUGACACGAUCAAACUAAUGAGAGCGCCAUGUAAAUUAAAACUCAGUAUCGUAUCCCUAUGACGGUAACGUAUAUCGUGUUUUUGUGUUAAUGAGAAAUUUUUGAUUGUUUCGUUGAAACAUGUCAGCUGACUGCUCUCUUACCCGACAGUGUAGCCAACCUUACAUUUCGAAAUCAUCAAGAAAAUAAAUUUUAAUUUUUAUAAUUUAUUUACCUACAUAUAGUGGAGACAAGCAUGGAACUUUAUGAUAAGGGUAAUCCUCAUUAUAAGGAUCAUAGUAGGCGAUUGACUGUAUUUUGGAUUACUCUUAUCAUAAGAUCCAUGGAAGAAAGAAAAUUAUUUGGGAACAAAUUGACAAGGAACUGUACACAAGUGGUGAGCUAUUCAUGCGAAGGCAGAUAAGCCCGGAAGUCUGCGGCACCAUUAGGCAGGGGAGCAGAAUAUCAUAGGCCGUGGUAUUUGCUUGGGAACAUGCAAUUUUUAAAGCCGCGCGUGAUUUCUCGGCUAAUUCGGUGUUCGCAAAACGUGUGCCCAUAAGUGGUCUUCCCAAGGCCAGUUGUAAAUUUCGUGCCCUCACAAUAGCCGCCAAUGUAUGUUCCUCUGCCAAUACUAUUGCCUUCAGUCAUCGUUGCCACCAAUAAUGGUAUGCAUACCAUCGUCAUCGCCACAAGCGUGUAUUGGUGUUGAUUCUCAUAGCCAUCAACGUCAUUCACGCAAGCUUCAUCUCCGCUACCUCUAUCACUUGCUUCAUCCCAGUGCUCAGUCCCAGUCCACCCCAGAUAUCAAGAGUAAAAUAACGCGAUAAGUGCUGAGGUUGAGAACAGCAUGUUGGAAGCUAUGGCCUCUUCAAAAAAAGAUGUUUGGAAAAGCAAUCCAGCAAUACAACAGAGGACACAUUUGGAAAAAUGUUUGUCGCAAUAAUUUCCCAAAAUGAAUGCAGCUAAGCAAACUCGGAGGCGGCCGCCGUAGCCGAAUGGGUUGGUGCGUGAUUACCAUUCGGAAUUCACAGAGAGGUCGUUGGUUCGAAUCUCGGUGAAAGCAAAAUUAAUAAAAACAUUUUUCUAAUAGCGGUCGCCCCUCGGCAAGCAAUGGCAAACCUCCGAGUGUAUUUCUGCCAUGAAAAAGCUCCUCAUAAAAAUAUCUGCCGUUCGGAGUCGGCUUGAAACUGUAGGUCCCUCCAUUUGUGGAACAACAUCAAUACGCACACCACAAAUACGAGGAGGAGCUCUGCCAAACACCUAACAGAAGUGUACGCGCCAAUUAUUUAUUUUUUUAUUUUUUAAGCAAACUCGGACCAUGCAGCGAAUGAUGGAGGUGGUAUUCGAGAUGCAACAGUAGCAGGAAUGAGAAUUUACUUUCGUAGUUGCGUAGUUUAAUUAUUUGUUCUUCCAAAUCUGAAUUAAAUUUGUUUGAAUUAUUUUUUGUUUCUCUACUGAUUGCAUGUUUUUAAUUUUAGUGUUUCUGGAGUUUAUAACAUAUUUGUUUGCCAUAGACGUAUUUCUAGCUAGUAAGAAAAUACUGAAUUCUGAAAUAUGUAUACUUUGUUCAUGUGCAUAUUCAUACUUAUGUAACCUAUUGUAACUAUUGUGAUUUUUGAAAUAUACCUGAAUUAUGUAGUAAUAAAUGAACUAUCUGAUAAAUGAAAGUAUUUGCUAAUAUUUUAGACUGCAUGAAUUUACAGUUGGACUUGGUAUUUUUAAGUAUAUUGAUUUAAAUAAAUUAUAUAUAUAAGAAUUCAUAAAUAAACGUGUAGAUGCUAAAUG
Anastrepha ludens (Mexican fruit fly) is the source of this 1958-nucleotide long non-coding RNA. RefSeq lists it as uncharacterized. The record is from RefSeq and is a predicted model, not a curated record. Lineage: Eukaryota; Metazoa; Arthropoda; Insecta; Diptera; Tephritidae. The transcript is spliced from 3 exons.